UACGGGGGGGGCAAGCGUUGUUCGGAAUUACUGGGCGUAAAGGGUUCGUAGGUGGCUUGCUAAGUCAGACGUGAAAUCCCUCAGCUUAACUGGGGAACUGCGUCUGAUACUGGCGAGCUUGAGUGCAGGAGAGGAACGCAGAAUUCCAGGUGUAGCGGUGAAAUGCGUAGAUAUGUGGAGGAACACCGAUGGCGAAGGCAGCCUUCUGGGCCAACACUGACGCUCAUGCACGAAAGCGUGGGGAGCAAACAGG
RNAcentral lists this ribosomal RNA (253 nucleotides) under uncultured bacterium. Its description in RNAcentral is "partial 16S ribosomal RNA". It matches the Rfam family "Bacterial small subunit ribosomal RNA", at positions 524 to 776 of the family's 1533-position model. The record is from RNAcentral.